This is a long non-coding RNA of Cucumis sativus (cucumber), 1512 nucleotides long. RefSeq lists it as uncharacterized. The record is from RefSeq and is a predicted model, not a curated record. The transcript is spliced from 2 exons. NCBI's taxonomy places the organism in Eukaryota, Viridiplantae, Streptophyta, Magnoliopsida, Cucurbitales, Cucurbitaceae.
AAAUUUCGACAUUGAUUGGUGGAAUUUGCUGUCUUCAUCUAAACUUUUCAUCUCCGCGUCUAUAAAUGCUUUUGUUUUAAUUAGAGAUUGGCCAAGUUUUGAUAUCGUUGUUGUUAGUCCAUCCGCAUCUACUGCAGCCGCUUUUUUCACGUUUUCCAACUCCUUGGUCAAACCAGAAACCACUUGUAGACCUAAUUGUCGAUAAUGUUCCGUUGAAUCGUCGGCGAAGUCCUCAAAAAUCGUAUCGUUGGAGACUAUGCUGGAUGAACUUCGACUUUGUCUAUCAGAACGAGCUGCUCGUAUGCCUUCUGAACGAAUAAUCUCUUGUACGACGAAGUGUAAGAGCGUAGUCUUGCCGUCAGUUCCUUUAACAUCUGCCAGUUUCAAGAGCGUGUCGAGCUUGAAUGCCUGAGCACCACCACGAUGAUGAAGAGGAAAGCAAAAAAGCAGAAACAAACGAAAAGGUUCGAAUCACGAUUCCCUACCCACACAUGUCAUUUAUCUAUUUUUCAUUUUAUGAUUCUGGGUUGAAUUGAAAAUGAAAGGAAGAAGAAAGAAUGUCGAUUCAUAAUAAUUAGAGAAAAGGGAAAAUUGGUUACCAUAUCUUUAUCCAAGUUCGAUGAUGUAUAGUAAUCGGCAUUGGUAAGAACCAUUUCGACCGUCUUCCUUCUGCCUUCUGAACUCGCAAUUGCCAAUGCACAAAGGAGAGUCACAAAAACAACCACAUAACCAGCUCUUCUUAAUUCCAUUUCUCUCUGAAUCACCAUCCCAUUCGUAUUCUUCUCUUCUCAUUUCAUCGAACUUGAAGAAAUCUCUACUCUUCAAUCCCCUCUAAAACCAACCCAUUCCUUUGAAUUCCAGAACCUUACCCCUUCCUGUAAAUGUAUUUACCCGACUUUGCCAAUAAUUCACAUAAAAGUUUCCCAAUCAAUGUUGAAACGCUCAGAAUUUCAUUGAUUGAAACGAGCGUUCAUAAAUGCCUAAAGAAAACAAAAAAAAUCAAUGGAACCAACACCUGUUUGUGAUGUUUACAAAAUUAUGACAGUUUGAGUUUGAAUUCUUGAUAUUUUUGUUCUUCUUCAGCCGAAUUCGUCCUGGGUUUUCUUUUCUGGAAUCAAAGUCCAAAACUUUUUUUCCCUCCCUGAUAUUUCGAAGAUAUCUUUUCUUGAUAUCCAGAAGGGAGGAAAAAAAAAAUGAAUGAGUUAAGCAAACAUGGGGAGAAGUAUGUGGAAAACCCAUGAUUGUUUAAAUUUCUUUUAUGCCCUUCUCUUUUCAAAAUCUCAUCUCUUCUCACCCCCAACUAUCUAAAUUUACUAUAUGAAAGAUAUAUUAUUAUUUAGUUUUCAACAUUAAAAAUUGAGUGGCUAAUGUAGCAUGAAAAUUGAGGUUGUCAAGAGGUGAUUGGGCAGCCAUUGAUAAGGAAAAGUUAAUUUAAUUAUUAAAUCGUAAUGCCACACUGUAAUUACGACGAAAAUCUAUCAAAGACUAAUUGGAUCGCACAAUUCCAACAAA